GGAUGUGAGGGUGAUCUGGCUGCGACAUCUGUCACCCCAUUGAUCGCCAGGGUUGAUUAGGCUGAUCUGGCUGGCUAGGCGGGUGUCCCCUUCCUCCCUCACCGUUCCAUGUGCGUCCCUCCCGAAGCUGCGCGCUCGGUCGAAGAGGACGACCUUCCCCGAUAGAGGAGGACCGUUCUUCGGUCAAGGGUAUACGAGUAGCUGCGCUCCCCUGCUAGAACCUCCAAACAAGCUCUCAAGAAAUAGCUGUAGGCCUUAAACUAAAAACUACUCUGGCAGUUCCUUUUGAUAGUUAUCAGGCAUUUUUGUCUGAGA
This 315-nucleotide small nuclear RNA is filed under the name Marmota monax (woodchuck). RNAcentral's name for it is "7SK RNA". It matches the Rfam family "7SK RNA". Rfam says of the family: 7SK was discovered as an abundant small nuclear RNA in the mid-70s but a possible function has only recently been suggested. Two independent studies have found that 7SK RNA binds the CDK9/cyclin T complex (known as elongation factor P-TEFb). P-TEFb activates transcription by phosphorylating the C-terminal domain of RNA polymerase II. The record is from Rfam by way of RNAcentral. Lineage: Eukaryota; Metazoa; Chordata; Mammalia; Rodentia; Sciuridae.